GAAGCAAGCCAGACAGCCGCUGGCCAGCGCGUAAUGCCUGGCGGGAGGAAGGUCCGGACUCCAUAGAGCGGGGUGACGGUUAACGGCCGUCCGCUGAAAGCCUACUCCAGUGUACUUGUACGCUGGAGGGGGUAUAAGGCGAGGAAUAGGGCCACAGAGACGAGCGUAUUAAGUUACGGUGAAACGCGGUAACCUCCACCUGGUGCAAUUCCAAAUAGGCACGCGAUGAUGCUGCUCGCGGAGCGUGCGGGUAGGAAGCUUGAGCGCUGGAGUAAUCCAGCGCCUAGAGGAAUGGCUGUCAUAGCGCGGGUUCGCCUGCGCCGUAACAAAAUCCGGCCUAUCGGCUUGCUUCAACU
This 356-nucleotide RNase P RNA is filed under the name Duganella sp. BJB480. Its description in RNAcentral is "RNase P RNA component class A". It matches the Rfam family "Bacterial RNase P class A". Rfam says of the family: Ribonuclease P (RNase P) is a ubiquitous endoribonuclease, found in archaea, bacteria and eukarya as well as chloroplasts and mitochondria. Its best characterised activity is the generation of mature 5'-ends of tRNAs by cleaving the 5'-leader elements of precursor-tRNAs. Cellular RNase Ps are ribonucleoproteins. RNAcentral also lists the same sequence under 3 other names. The record is from RNAcentral. Lineage: Bacteria; Pseudomonadati; Pseudomonadota; Betaproteobacteria; Burkholderiales; Oxalobacteraceae.